RNAcentral lists this ribosomal RNA (975 nucleotides) under human gut metagenome. RNAcentral describes it as "bacterial LSU rRNA". It matches the Rfam family "Bacterial large subunit ribosomal RNA", at positions 1953 to 2925 of the family's 2925-position model. The record is from RNAcentral.
AAGGUAGCGAAAUUCCUUGUCGGGUAAGUUCCGACCUGCACGAAUGGCGUAACGACUUCCCCACUGUCUCGACCAGGAGCUCGGCGAAAUUGCAGUACGAGUAAAGAUGCUCGUUAAGCGCAGAAGGACGAAAAGACCCCGGGACCUUUACUAUACCUUGGUAUUGGCGUUAGGCGCGGAUUGUGUAGCAUAGGCGGGAGGCUUCGAAGCGGGUGCGCCAGCAUUCGUGGAGCCGCAAGGUGAAAUACCGCUCUGUUCUCGUUUGACGUCUAACCUCGACAAGUCAUCCUUGUCAGGGACAGUGCCUGGCGGGUAGUUCAACUGGGGCGGUUGCCUCCCAAAGAGUAACGGAGGCGCUCAAAGGUCCGCUCAGCCCGGUUGGCAAUCGGGUGUCGAGUGUAAUCGCACAAGCGGGCUUGACUGCGAGGACGACGGUCCGAGCAGGGACGAAAGUCGGAGAUAGUGAUCCGGUGCCGGCGCACGGGCGCGGCAUCGCUCAACGGAUAAAAGGUACCCCGGGGAUAACAGGCUGAUCAUUCCCAAGAGUCCAUAUCGACGGGAUGGUUUGGCACCUCGAUGUCGGCUCGUCGCAUCCUGGGGCUGGAGCAGGUCCCAAGGGUUCGGCUGUUCGCCGAUUAAAGCGGCACGCGAGCUGGGUUCAGAACGUCGUGAGACAGUUUGGUCUCUAUCCUCUGCGCUCGUUGGAAUCCUGAGGAGGCCUGCCCAUAGUACGAGAGGACCUGGGUGGACGAACCUCUGGUAUGCCGGUUGUCGCGCCAGCGGCACGGCCGGUUGGCUACGUUCGGGAGGGAUAACCGCUGAAAGCAUCUAAGCGGGAAGCCUGCUCCAAGAUUAGGAUUCCAUGGAUCUUCGAGAUCCUGUAGCCCGCAUGUUGAACACGUGUUUGAUAGGCCGGAGGUGGAAGUCCCGUGAGGGGUGGAGCCGACCGGUACUAACGGGCGAUGGCGACAUAAC